AGCUUUGCGCAGUGGCAGUAUCGUAGCCAACGAGGUUUAUCCGAGGCGCGAUUAUUGCUAAUUGAAAUUACCAAGAAUACAUUCCUCUGGAAUAGCAUUUCUACACAUUUUUUAUAGGC
Small nuclear RNA from Ursus americanus (American black bear), 119 nucleotides. Its record names the gene U4. It matches the Rfam family "U4 spliceosomal RNA". Rfam says of the family: U4 small nuclear RNA (U4 snRNA) is a component of the major U2-dependent spliceosome. The structure of U4 snRNA from yeast and human has been reported. The record is from Ensembl. NCBI's taxonomy places the organism in Eukaryota, Metazoa, Chordata, Mammalia, Carnivora, Ursidae.